AGGUAGUGCAUGGUGUUCGGUGCCAACCUGACCCGAAUUACAUAGCCUGCAGACUCUAUCUUCAAAUGGGGUUCCGUCGUAUCGGCCUGUCUCGACUGGAAACCAGUGGUUAGCAGUCCUGAAUUGGAAUAGGGAAGGUGCUGGUGGAUGCUUGAUGGAAGAUUGAUUGCAGCUCAUCAGUUAUGUGCUCUAUGGUCUGCUGCGAUUUGGGGUUGGAUGAGGGUUCUGUCCCCCCACUGGCCUAAUGGCUAUGGUUGCUGUCUGCUGUGGUCCUACUAUGGUUAUUGGACUGUGGAGUGUCCCUAGAGGGCACACGGUUAUCAGUACGCGCAGAAUCCCAGGGGCGUUGGAUGCUGGGCACAGAUGACUGGGUGUUCAGUGGAGUUCUGGGAGAUACUGGAGGAUGAUUACGAGCAUGAGCUUUUGAAGAAUUAGGAGAAGCAGACUGCGAGCGUCUUGAUACGUGUUCAGAAUUGGGAGUUAGAGUAUUGGGAGUGAUGACCAUGGUUGUUUUCCUCUGGUUAGCAGAGGUUGUGAUAGGCUCUGGCGGGAUAUUGUUCCUGGCGCUUUGGGGAGGAGGGACACUGUGUGCCUGAUUCGACCGUGGUACUUCGGGGAACGUGGCAGUUGGAGUAAUGGGAGUGGCGACCGCAGUUGUGUUCCUCCGGUUGCCAGAGGUUGUGAUAGAAGCUGGCGGGAUAUUGUUCCAGGUGCUUUGGCGAGAACGGAAACUGUGUGCCUGACUCGUCCCGAAGACUUCGGAGAUUGUGCGAACUCUGUUACCGUUUAGAAUUGAGUUCCAAUAUAAAUAGGGCGUAACUGAUAUGCAAACAUAAGCCGUUGUCGUCUACAAUUAUAACGAGUGUCACACUUUACCUUUAAUUGGUACU
Dreissena polymorpha is the source of this 890-nucleotide long non-coding RNA. RefSeq lists it as uncharacterized. The transcript is spliced from 3 exons. Lineage: Eukaryota; Metazoa; Mollusca; Bivalvia; Myida; Dreissenidae. The record is from RefSeq and is a predicted model, not a curated record.